CAGACUUCAUUUCACAGUCAGCAGAGCAGAAGGAGGAAAACAAGUCUGAGGCAGAACAAAAAAUCACACUUUGAGACGAGAGCCUCAUUUUCAGACGUUGUCAGUUUACCAGUAUUAACGAACCAAUCAAAACAUGGGAAAACAACACAGUUCACUGAACCACAGCAAACAGCAUUUAAGCAGAAAAAUG
This is a long non-coding RNA of Scomber japonicus (chub mackerel), 190 nucleotides long. RefSeq lists it as uncharacterized. The record is from RefSeq and is a predicted model, not a curated record. NCBI's taxonomy places the organism in Eukaryota, Metazoa, Chordata, Actinopteri, Scombriformes, Scombridae. The transcript is spliced from 3 exons.